AAUGUUCCUUAAAUAUUAACUUCUGGUUAGAAUUUUCAAUGAAAAUUAUUUAUCUACUCUUGGAUUGCCUUGCUUCAGUGGAGCAAGAUCCAGACAAGAAAAGUGGAUUCUCUACUUUAUGAAACAUCUCUGAUUUUCUCUCAUUUGUUGCCCAUCUGCGUCUCAACUGUUUUCCAUGGUGCUACAUCAGUUAAGGGAGAAAUUGGUACUAGAUAUGGAAUGGGUAGAUAAGUAAGUAUUAUAUGAAUGUCUCAUUUUUUUCACAAGUCUAGAUAAUUUUGUAAUCUGUGCUUUCACUCUGCUACAUUAGCAAUCAUGCAGUUUCUGCAUAUGAAUAUAGAGGUUCUGUGCUUCACAUAUGGGACCAACUUUGUCAAUGGUAAGGAUUGUCCAUGGAUAGAUACUUUAACAUGUGAAGUGCAAUUGGUCCACUGAUACUGACUGUUGUCAUUUUUAUUCUGUUUCAUGGAACUGAGUAUAUGAUGAGAAUGGAAAAUGACAAAGUACAUAGCAGUUAUGCUUUGAAGUAAGCUACUACUGUACUAAAGGCAAGAUGAAUUAUUUUAGGGAUCUGUAAUAUAAAACUGAAAACCAUACUAAAGCAGUAGGAUUAUCGUGGAAAGUAGAACAAGAGAUGAAAUACUUUGCUUCUUCAUCUUUCUCAGGAGUUACAGGUAGACAAAGUGAGUCACUGUGAGAAAUGUACUGAUAGUUAAGACCAAACUAAUAAUGAUGAUAAUAAUAUACCCCAUGUUUUUGGCAUUGAAAAUCCAUCAAAAUAUUCAUUACAGCUUUUGUGCAAUAUGUUUAUGGCAACCAUCAAUAGUUAAUAAGGAUAUAACAGUUCAACUAGUUGGUAAAUUGAGGGUAGUAGUCUUCUCUAAAGAAUGCUGUAGAAUCUCUUUGACAUUUAGCCCCACAUUAAAAAGUAUUUAUGUUUGAUUAUAUUUUUACAAUACUUGUAAUAGAAUGUGUUUAAUUUGUAAAUGCCAGUGAAUAUGCCAUCUUUGUUUUACAUAACUGUAGGUUGCAGGGUACUGAGGGAAACAGUUUUGUCAAUGAUUUAUUCAAACUCUAUCCUCACAAAAUAUGUACUGAGGCUAUUUUUAUUACCCAUUUGUUUAUUUUCAGUUUCUAUCUUCUGUUUCUUGAGCCUAAAAGGAAGAAAAACUAGUGAGAAGAUCCUUUGCUUUCAGUUUCCAUUAGUACAAAUUCUUCUCUCUUGAACAUUUGGUGGGUCUGGGAGCAUCUUAAUAAAGUCUGGGUAAUUUAGUUUUCAGUUUAAAUUCUCAACUGGCAAUUGGCCGAAAGGACACGUGUCUGAAGAUUUGAGCAUCCAAAUGCCAUUUUUGUGAUUGGCUACUAUCUGCUUGACAUAGGCGGGCCCUAUCAAGAAAGUCUAAAGGAAUGACUAGUCAUCGAAGAGAAAUCAAAGGUUUGUCAGGAUGAAGAGUUACUGAACAGAUGGAGUGAAAUAAUCUAUGAAGAGGAAACCAGGGAGAAACUCUGAACCAUGUGGUCCUAUACAACAGG
This is a long non-coding RNA of Antechinus flavipes (yellow-footed antechinus), 1533 nucleotides long. RefSeq lists it as uncharacterized. The record is from RefSeq and is a predicted model, not a curated record. The transcript has 2 exons. Lineage: Eukaryota; Metazoa; Chordata; Mammalia; Dasyuromorphia; Dasyuridae.